GACGAACGCUGGCGGCGUGCUUAACACAUGCAAGUCGAACGGAAAGGCCCUGCUUUUGUGGGGUGCUCGAGUGGCGAACGGGCGAGUAACACGUGAGUAACCUGCCCUUGACUUUGGGAUAACUUCAGGAAACUGGGGCUAAUACCAGAUAGGAGCUCCUGCUGCAUGGUGGGGGUUGGAAAGUUUCGGCGGUUGGGGAUGGACUCGCGGCUUAUCAGCUUGUUGGUGGGGUAGUGGCUUACCAAGGCUUUGACGGGUAGCCGGCCUGAGAGGGUGACCGGCCACAUUGGGACUGAGAUACGGCCCAGACUCCUACGGGAGGCAGCAGUGGGGAAUAUUGCACAAUGGGCGGAAGCCUGAUGCAGCAACGCCGCGUGCGGGAUGACGGCCUUCGGGUUGUAAACCGCUUUCGCCUGUGACGAAGCGUGAGUGACGGUAAUGGGUAAAGAAGCACCGGCUAACUACGUG
RNAcentral lists this ribosomal RNA (468 nucleotides) under uncultured bacterium. Its description in RNAcentral is "partial 16S ribosomal RNA". It matches the Rfam family "Bacterial small subunit ribosomal RNA", at positions 28 to 507 of the family's 1533-position model. The record is from RNAcentral.